This 510-nucleotide ribosomal RNA is filed under the name Septoria phlogis. Its description in RNAcentral is "eukaryotic LSU rRNA". The stretch from base 163 to 316 matches the Rfam family "5.8S ribosomal RNA". The record is from RNAcentral. Lineage: Eukaryota; Fungi; Ascomycota; Dothideomycetes; Mycosphaerellales; Mycosphaerellaceae.
UGCGGAGGGAUCAUUACUGAGUGAGGGCCUUCGGGCUCGACCUCCAACCCUUUGUGAACACAACUUGUUGCUUCGGGGGCGACCCUGCCGUUUCGACGGCGAGCGCCCCCGGAGACCAUCAAACACUGCAUCUUUGCGUCGGAGUUUAAGUAAAUUAAACAAAACUUUCAACAACGGAUCUCUUGGUUCUGGCAUCGAUGAAGAACGCAGCGAAAUGCGAUAAGUAAUGUGAAUUGCAGAAUUCAGUGAAUCAUCGAAUCUUUGAACGCACAUUGCGCCCUUUGGUAUUCCGAAGGGCAUGCCUGUUCGAGCGUCAUUUCACCACUCAAGCCUGGCUUGGUAUUGGGCGCCGCGGUCAAUCCGCGCGCCUCAAAGUCUCCGGCUGAGCUGUCCGUCUCUAAGCGUUGUGAUUUCAUUAAUCGCUUCGGAGUGCGGGCGGCCGCGGCCGUUAAAUCUUUCACAAGGUUGACCUCGGAUCAGGUAGGGAUACCCGCUGAACUUAAGCAUAUC